ACCGGCACGGAUGCCGGUGGUUUAAACUUACGAGUUUUUUGCGAAGCAAAAAUACUCGAAGCUGAAAAAUGUACAAGGACGUACAUUUUUCAGCGGUU
Small RNA from Treponema denticola ATCC 35405, 98 nucleotides. It matches the Rfam family "TD-2 RNA". Rfam says of the family: non coding RNA found in Treponema denticola Lineage: Bacteria; Pseudomonadati; Spirochaetota; Spirochaetia; Treponematales; Treponemataceae. The record is from Rfam.